UACAGAGGUCCCAAGCGUUGUUCGGAUUCACUGGGCGUAAAGGGCGCGUAGGCGGCUCAUGAAGGCUGUGGUGAAAGUCCGGGGCUCAACCUCGGAUCGGCCGUGGCGACUCGUGGGCUGGAGCACUGUAGAGGCGGGUGGAAUUCCGGGUGUAGCGGUGGAAUGCGUAGAGAUCCGGAAGAACACCAGUGGCGAAGGCGGCCCGCUGGGCAGUGGCUGACGCUGAAGCGCGACAGCGUGGGGAGCAAACAGG
This 253-nucleotide ribosomal RNA is filed under the name uncultured bacterium. RNAcentral describes it as "partial 16S ribosomal RNA". It matches the Rfam family "Bacterial small subunit ribosomal RNA", at positions 524 to 776 of the family's 1533-position model. The record is from RNAcentral.